GUGGAUGCCCUGGCAGUCAGAGGCGAUGAAGGACGUGCUAAUCUGCGAUAAGCGUCGGUAAGGUGAUAUGAACCGUUAUAACCGGCGAUUUCCGAAUGGGGAAACCCAGUGUGAUUCGUCACACUAUCAUUAACUGAAUCCAUAGGUUAAUGAGGCGAACCGGGGGAACUGAAACAUCUAAGUACCCCGAGGAAAAGAAAUCAACCGAGAUUCCCCCAGUAGCGGCGAGCGAACGGGGAGCAGCCCAGAGCCUGAAUCAGUGUGUGUGUUAGUGGAAGCGUCUGGAAAGGCGUGCGAUACAGGGUGACAGCCCCGUACACAAAAAUGCACAUACUGUGAGCUCGAUGAGUAGGGCGGGACACGUGGUAUCCUGUCUGAAUAUGGGGGGACCAUCCUCCAAGGCUAAAUACUCCUGACUGACCGAUAGUGAACCAGUACCGUGAGGGAAAGGCGAAAAGAACCCCGGCGAGGGGAGUGAAAAAGAACCUGAAACCGUGUACGUACAAGCAGUGGGAGCACGCUUAGGCGUGUGACUGCGUACCUUUUGUAUAAUGGGUCAGCGACUUAUAUUCUGUAGCAAGGUUAACCGAAUAGGGGAGCCGAAGGGAAACCGAGUCUUAACUGGGCGUUAAGUUGCAGGGUAUAGACCCGAAACCCGGUGAUCUAGCCAUGGGCAGGUUGAAGGUUGGGUAACACUAACUGGAGGACCGAACCGACUAAUGUUGAAAAAUUAGCGGAUGACUUGUGGCUGGGGGUGAAAGGCCAAUCAAACCGGGAGAUAGCUGGUUCUCCCCGAAAGCUAUUUAGGUAGCGCCUCGUGAAUUCAUCUCCGGGGGUAGAGCACUGUUUCGGCAAGGGGGUCAUCCCGACUUACCAACCCGAUGCAAACUGCGAAUACCGGAGAAUGUUAUCACGGGAGACACACGGCGGGUGCUAACGUCCGUCGUGAAGAGGGAAACAACCCAGACCGCCAGCUAAGGUCCCAAAGUCAUGGUUAAGUGGGAAACGAUGUGGGAAGGCCCAGACAGCCAGGAUGUUGGCUUAGAAGCAGCCAUCAUUUAAAGAAAGCGUAAUAGCUCACUGGUCGAGUCGGCCUGCGCGGAAGAUGUAACGGGGCUAAACCAUGCACCGAAGCUGCGGCAGCGACGCUUAUGCGUUGUUGGGUAGGGGAGCGUUCUGUAAGCCUGUGAAGGUGUGCUGUGAGGUAUGCUGGAGGUAUCAGAAGUGCGAAUGCUGACAUAAGUAACGAUAAAGCGGGUGAAAAGCCCGCUCGCCGGAAGACCAAGGGUUCCUGUCCAACGUUAAUCGGGGCAGGGUGAGUCGACCCCUAAGGCGAGGCCGAAAGGCGUAGUCGAUGGGAAACAGGUUAAUAUUCCUGUACUUGGUGUUACUGCGAAGGGGGGACGGAGAAGGCUAUGUUGGCCGGGCGACGGUUGUCCCGGUUUAAGCGUGUAGGCUGGUUUUCCAGGCAAAUCCGGAAAAUCAAGGCCGAGGCGUGAUGACGAGGCACUACGGUGCUGAAGCAACAAAUGCCCUGCUUCCAGGAAAAGCCUCUAAGCAUCAGGUAACAUCAAAUCGUACCCCAAACCGACACAGGUGGUCAGGUAGAGAAUACCAAGGCGCUUGAGAGAACUCGGGUGAAGGAACUAGGCAAAAUGGUGCCGUAACUUCGGGAGAAGGCACGCUGAUACGUAGGUGAAGCGACUUGCUCGUGGAGCUGAAAUCAGUCGAAGAUACCAGCUGGCUGCAACUGUUUAUUAAAAACACAGCACUGUGCAAACACGAAAGUGGACGUAUACGGUGUGACGCCUGCCCGGUGCCGGAAGGUUAAUUGAUGGGGUUAGCGCAAGCGAAGCUCUUGAUCGAAGCCCCGGUAAACGGCGGCCGUAACUAUAACGGUCCUAAGGUAGCGAAAUUCCUUGUCGGGUAAGUUCCGACCUGCACGAAUGGCGUAAUGAUGGCCAGGCUGUCUCCACCCGAGACUCAGUGAAAUUGAACUCGCUGUGAAGAUGCAGUGUACCCGCGGCAAGACGGAAAGACCCCGUGAACCUUUACUAUAGCUUGACACUGAACAUUGAGCCUUGAUGUGUAGGAUAGGUGGGAGGCUUUGAAGUGUGGACGCCAGUCUGCAUGGAGCCGACCUUGAAAUACCACCCUUUAAUGUUUGAUGUUCUAACGUGGACCCGUGAUCCGGGUUGCGGACAGUGUCUGGUGGGUAGUUUGACUGGGGCGGUCUCCUCCUAAAGAGUAACGGAGGAGCACGAAGGUUGGCUAAUCCUGGUCGGACAUCAGGAGGUUAGUGCAAUGGCAUAAGCCAGCUUGACUGCGAGCGUGACGGCGCGAGCAGGUGCGAAAGCAGGUCAUAGUGAUCCGGUGGUUCUGAAUGGAAGGGCCAUCGCUCAACGGAUAAAAGGUACUCCGGGGAUAACAGGCUGAUACCGCCCAAGAGUUCAUAUCGACGGCGGUGUUUGGCACCUCGAUGUCGGCUCAUCACAUCCUGGGGCUGAAGUAGGUCCCAAGGGUAUGGCUGUUCGCCAUUUAAAGUGGUACGCGAGCUGGGUUUAGAACGUCGUGAGACAGUUCGGUCCCUAUCUGCCGUGGGCGCUGGAGAACUGAGGGGGGCUGCUCCUAGUACGAGAGGACCGGAGUGGACGCAUCACUGGUGUUCGGGUUGUCAUGCCAAUGGCACUGCCCGGUAGCUAAAUGCGGAAGAGAUAAGUGCUGAAAGCAUCUAAGCACGAAACUUGCCCCGAGAUGAGUUCUCCCUGACCCUUUAAGGGUCCUGAAGGAACGUUGAAGACGACGACGUUGAUAGGCCGGGUGUGUAAGCGCAGCGAUGCGUUGAGCUAACCGGUACUAAUGAACCGUGAGGCUUAACCUUACAACGCCGAAG
RNAcentral lists this ribosomal RNA (2893 nucleotides) under Shigella flexneri. RNAcentral describes it as "partial 23S ribosomal RNA". It matches the Rfam family "Bacterial large subunit ribosomal RNA". Lineage: Bacteria; Pseudomonadati; Pseudomonadota; Gammaproteobacteria; Enterobacterales; Enterobacteriaceae. The record is from RNAcentral.